CUGGGUUCAGGACUUUCAGAGUCACUGAGACGCAGCACAAUGAUGAAGGUUCUGAUUCUACUGCUGAAUACACUCGGCCUCCUCACUCAACAGUCGUUUGGAGAAAUCAUCAUGACUCAGACUCCAGGAUCUCACUCGGUUUCUCCAGGACAAUCUGUUACCAUCAACUGUAGAUCCAGUCAAAGCGUUAGCAGCAGCUACCUCCACUGGUACCAGCAGAAACCUGGAGAAGCUCCUAAACUUCUGAUCUAUGGUGCAACUAAUCUUUACUCUGGGAUCCCUGGACGUUUUAGUGGAAGUGGAUCUGGUACAGAAUAUUCUCUAAAAAUCACUGGAGUCCAGGCUGAAGAUGCAGGAGAUUAUUACUGUCAGCAGUAUGAAGCCCUUCCCAUCACACGGUGUUAUUUACUGAUACAAAAACCUCCCUCAGCUGUAGAGGAAGUUCUCUGA
Molecule: non-coding RNA, 450 nt
Organism: Trichomycterus rosablanca
Lineage: Eukaryota; Metazoa; Chordata; Actinopteri; Siluriformes; Trichomycteridae
Source: the annotation of a RefSeq genome assembly